ACCGGUCUCCGGUAGUGGCCCCCGGGAAUCCCGGCAUCAUGCCGGCCACCCGGGCGCUUCGAUCGAAGACCGGC
This is a non-coding RNA of Micromonospora cremea, 74 nucleotides long. The record is from Rfam. NCBI's taxonomy places the organism in Bacteria, Bacillati, Actinomycetota, Actinomycetes, Micromonosporales, Micromonosporaceae.